RNAcentral lists this small RNA (29 nucleotides) under Bombyx mori (domestic silkworm). Its description in RNAcentral is "piRNA piR-bmo-1878872". The record is from RNAcentral. Lineage: Eukaryota; Metazoa; Arthropoda; Insecta; Lepidoptera; Bombycidae.
UGACAAAGUAAUGCGCAAACGGCUGUUUA